CAGCCGCCGCGGUAAUACGGAGGGUGCAAGCGUUGUUCGGAAUUAUUGGGCGUAAAGCGCGUGUAGGCGGUUUGUUAAGUCUGGUGUGAAAGCCCUGGGCUCAACCUGGGAAGUGCAUUGGAUACUGGCAAACUUGAGUACGUGAGAGGAUAGUGGAAUUUCGAGUGUAGGGGUGAAAUCCGUAGAUAUUCGAAGGAACACCGGUGGCGAAGGCGGCUAUCUGGACCGAUACUGACGCUGAGACGCGAAAGCGUGGGGAGCAAACAGGAUUAGAUACCCUGGUAGUCCACGCCGUAAACGAUGGGCACUAGGUGUUGCGGGUAUUGACCCCUGCAGUGCCGAAGCUAACGCAUUAAGUGCCCCGCCUGGGGAGUACGGUCGCAAGACUAAAACUCAAAGGAAUUGACGG
Molecule: ribosomal RNA, 409 nt
Filed under: uncultured bacterium
Lineage: Bacteria
Description: bacterial SSU rRNA
Rfam family: Bacterial small subunit ribosomal RNA
Source: RNAcentral